AGGCAACAUCUAUGAACCGUAGCAAAGGCAUAGUCAUGGGUAUUUGUGUCUGGCCGGGUGCAGAGAAAAUUGAGCAACUUAUCUGGAUUCACAGCUAUAGAAAGGUUAACCUUAUAAUAGUUGCCCUAGGACAAGCUUGAAGAGAAAGCCAUUUAACUUUAAUGAAUAACUUAAAAUACAAAGGGCUAGUUAUUCCAAGUGUUCCUUGGACAGAAGGAAAAAGGUUUUCUUGAGAAAAGACUGAGAAAAGCUUAGUCAUUCAGACCCAAAAAAGCAGGGGAAAACAGGUCUUGCGCAGGAAGAAGUUAGGAGAAAAUUCUAUUGUACAAACGAGGAUCCUCUGAAUUACCCCAUCCCAGAAGCAGGUUCCACAAGGAGACUAAAUUUAAUUAGCAGAGGUGAACUGUGCUUUAUUUUUUCCUUUUUUUUCAGAGCUCUCCCCUCUCUUGCAGUAGCAGUAAUGUACGUGCCUCUCCCCGUGAGGUGGCGUGGAACAGCGAUGCUGAAGGAAACACUGACCUUUUUGGUUCGAUUUACCGGAGAGGGGCUUGGACAAUGCAGUGGUCAACUUGCUGAUUGCCAGUCUGCUUUGCUGCUCCAACCUGUGCACUGUUCGGUGAGGUCAGGUGUAGGAACAGGAAUCAGAAGGAUGACAUUCCAAGAACAGGAGUAA
RNAcentral lists this long non-coding RNA (673 nucleotides) under Calidris pygmaea (Spoon-billed sandpiper). Its description in RNAcentral is "lncRNA (ENSCPGG00000005667.1)". Lineage: Eukaryota; Metazoa; Chordata; Aves; Charadriiformes; Scolopacidae. The record is from RNAcentral.